CACAUUUUAAUAGACAUAAAUAUCCUCAUAUAUUAUGAAUUUUAAGUUUUAAGGUCAAGGGUAUUUGAAUAAUCUCCAUUCUCAGAACUAAAAAAAACAAGAAACCCCCAAACCCUUACUCAUCUCUCUCAUCCCUCGUUCCUCUCAACCCUUUCUCUUUCAUCUCUCUUACUCCAACAUUGUCCCUAUCAUCUCUACAGUAGUCCCAACUGAAAAAUCAGAAACACUCACCUGACCCUAAUCCACCUUCCUCACUUGUGCAAUUUGUUUCUCUCUCAUCUCCAUCCUCUUUC
Molecule: long non-coding RNA, 293 nt
Filed under: Vigna radiata
Lineage: Eukaryota; Viridiplantae; Streptophyta; Magnoliopsida; Fabales; Fabaceae
Description: long non-coding RNA (VRAD_LNC017304)
Source: RNAcentral